UACGUAGGGAGCAAGCGUUGUCCGGAUUUACUGGGUGUAAAGGGUGCGUAGGCGGCAAGGCAAGUCAGGCGUGAAAUCUGUGGGCUUAACCCACAAACUGCGCUUGAAACUGUCUUGCUUGAGUGAAGUAGAGGUAGGCGGAAUUCCCGGUGUAGCGGUGAAAUGCGUAGAGAUCGGGAGGAACACCAGUGGCGAAGGCGGCCUACUGGGCUUUAACUGACGCUGAAGCACGAAAGCAUGGGUAGCAAACAGG
This 253-nucleotide ribosomal RNA is filed under the name [Clostridium] leptum DSM 753. Its description in RNAcentral is "partial 16S ribosomal RNA". It matches the Rfam family "Bacterial small subunit ribosomal RNA", at positions 524 to 776 of the family's 1533-position model. The record is from RNAcentral. Lineage: Bacteria; Bacillati; Bacillota; Clostridia; Eubacteriales; Oscillospiraceae.